RNAcentral lists this transfer RNA (67 nucleotides) under Blaberus sp. B013. RNAcentral's name for it is "tRNA-Ser". The record is from RNAcentral. Lineage: Eukaryota; Metazoa; Arthropoda; Insecta; Blattodea; Blaberidae.
AGUCAAAUAAUAUGAAAGCAUUGUGUUUUGAAAGCACUUAAAAGAGGUUAAAUCCCUCUAUUGACUU